CUCUCCUGCUGCCAUGUGAAGAAGGAUGUGUUUGCUUCCCUUUUCGCCAUGAUUAUAAGUUUCCUGAGGCCUUCCUAGCUACUGGGAACUGAAAAUGAAUUUCAUACUCCAGUAGUGUUACCAAACUACAUUUCCCCAUCAUGGUAGCCUAAGCCAGGAAGUGGAGAAAAGAGAAGGAUGUCAUUAAGUGGAAAAUAAUCAGCAAUCUAUUGUUGAUGGCAGAGACAGCCCAUCCAGAGUGGCCGCUGUGAAAAAGCUGGCUGCAGCGGUGCGGCCGGGAUUGCACACUCCAUGGGGCCAGAGGGAGCCCAGAACAGGGGGAGCCCCAACCCCACCGAGUUUGCAUCAGGAGCCCACGCUCUCGGUCAGGCUGCAGCCACACAGCCACAGCUCCAAACCCAGGACAAAAAUAGGAGCUAAAU
This 422-nucleotide long non-coding RNA is filed under the name Homo sapiens (human). RNAcentral's name for it is "HSALNT0076365". The record is from RNAcentral. Lineage: Eukaryota; Metazoa; Chordata; Mammalia; Primates; Hominidae.